GUGUCGAUUUACGGUAAACAAGGCGCGUUGGCGGGAUUUCGGAGCGUCGUUGCG
This 54-nucleotide small RNA is filed under the name Caenorhabditis elegans. RNAcentral describes it as "Unclassified non-coding RNA Y39B6A.74". The record is from RNAcentral. Lineage: Eukaryota; Metazoa; Nematoda; Chromadorea; Rhabditida; Rhabditidae.